GAUGAACGCUGGCGGCGUGCCUAAUACAUGCAAGUCGAGCGAACAGACGAGGAGCUUGUUCCACUGACGUUAGCGGCGGACGGGUGAGUAACACGUGGAUAACCUACCUAUAAGACUGGGAUAACUUCUGGAAACCAGAGCUAAUACCGGAUAAUAUAUUUAAACGCAUGUUUCAAUAUUGAAAGACGGUUUUGCUGUCACCUAUAGAUGUAUCCGCGCCGCAUUAGCUAGUGGGUAAGUUAACGGUUUACAAAGGCAACGAUGCGUAGCCGACUUGAGAGGGUGUUCGGCCAACCUGGAACGGGACCACGCUCAAGCCUCCUCCGGGAGCAGGAAGAGGGGAAUCUUCGGAAAUGAGCGAAGGCCUGACGGGGAACGGCGGGGUGGGUGAUGAAGGUCUCCGGACGUAAAAACUCUGUUAUUAGGGAAGACCAAAUGUGUAAGUAAAUAUGCACCAAUUGACGGUACCUAAUCAGAAAGGCACGGCUAACUACGUG
RNAcentral lists this ribosomal RNA (497 nucleotides) under uncultured bacterium. RNAcentral's name for it is "partial 16S ribosomal RNA". It matches the Rfam family "Bacterial small subunit ribosomal RNA", at positions 28 to 507 of the family's 1533-position model. The record is from RNAcentral.